AGUAGCUAGGACUACAGAUCUGCAUUGUAAGAAAAAUGAGAAGAAUUCCUUCAGGAAGAAGAAAAAUGAUACCAGAUGGAUAUGUGGAUCCACAUAAAGGAACGAAGAGCACAGGAAAUAGUAACUAUACUGUCUUGCUCUGUCACCCAGGCUGGAGUGUGGUGGUGCGAUCUUGGCUCACUGCUAGACUGGUUGGAUCCAGGUGCUGAAUUCAAUUUACUCUUGAUUUAUCUUGUGUUUGUAUUCAGAAGUGUGUUUCUCAGCUACUCAGUGUAAGAACUAAUGUUUAAGCCAAGAUGACUCUUCUGUUAUUUGGAACACAAAGCAACUAGAUUAACUUUUGCCAGGAGACUGACUACCAAACUCAUAUAAACACUGCACAGACAGCCCAUGCCGGCCCCCCACAGACACUUGCUGUCACCUCCAUGGUCUUUCUUGAGUUCUCUUAGACUAACAUUCUGUAAUUACUGCUGCCUUCCUUUCUUCCGAGGGCUGCACCCUCUAGCCCAGUACUCCUCACGCUGUCAUGUACAUUUGAAUUACUGGGAAUUUUACUGAAAAGCAGUUUCUUAUUCAGCGGGUCUGGGGUGAGGCUUGAGAUUUUACAUUUAUCACAAGCUUUCAGGUGAUAUUUGAGUAGCAAGGCUUUAGGCCACAACAAGAGUAUAAUUUUUAUUCCAGCUUUUAAAUAAUUGGACCCUGUUAAUGGCAGUGUAUGGGAGACAUAAGGUAAAGUGAGAAGAGUACUGGGUGAGGUCAAGAUUCAAUUUCCGAUUCCCUGUUUACCAGUUGUGUGCUCUCAGCUUUAAUUUUCAUGUACUAAAAAACUGGGAAAAUCAAAUGUCAGAAUGAAUGUGUACAUACUUUGCAUAAGGCAUUUAAAUGAAAGGAUUAAAUAAUCCUCUAUGAUUAACAAGAAUGAUUAUCAAUAUUUCCCAGGUAACUUAUUGUCAUCAAAACAACAAUAUCAGUAGAUAUCUAAAAAGUUAGGAUGAAAAGAGAUAAUUGCUGUAAAAUGCCCAUCACUGUGCCUAGAAUGUACAUAGAAAUACAUGUUAGCUAUUCUUAUUUUUUUUUUUUUUGAGACGUAGUCUCGCUCU
This 1100-nucleotide long non-coding RNA is filed under the name Homo sapiens (human). RNAcentral describes it as "HSALNT0388591". Lineage: Eukaryota; Metazoa; Chordata; Mammalia; Primates; Hominidae. The record is from RNAcentral.